GGACCCGUUGCAUAGCCUGGAUAGUGCAGGUGAUUCCGGAUCAUCAGGUCGGGGGAUCGAAGCCCCCCGGGUCCUUGA
RNAcentral lists this transfer RNA (78 nucleotides) under Cenarchaeum symbiosum A. Its description in RNAcentral is "tRNA-Arg". The record is from RNAcentral. Lineage: Archaea; Thermoproteati; Nitrososphaerota; Candidatus Cenarchaeales; Candidatus Cenarchaeaceae.